UACGUAUGGGGCAAGCGUUAUCCGGAAUUAUUGGGCGUAAAGAGUGCGUAGGUGGUUACCUAAGCGCAAGGUUUAAUCUUGAGGCUCAACCUCAUUCUGCCUUGCGAACUGGGCUACUUGAGUGCAGGAGGGGAAAGCGGAAUUCCCAGUGUAGUGGUGAAAUGCGUAGAUAUUGGGAAGAACACCGGUGGCGAAGGCGGCUUUCUGGACGAUAACUGACGCUGAGACGCGAAAGCGUGGGGAGCAAACAGGAUUAGAUACCCCUGUAGUCCCUGA
RNAcentral lists this ribosomal RNA (276 nucleotides) under uncultured prokaryote. Its description in RNAcentral is "partial 16S ribosomal RNA". It matches the Rfam family "Bacterial small subunit ribosomal RNA", at positions 524 to 800 of the family's 1533-position model. The record is from RNAcentral.